Molecule: unclassified non-coding RNA, 291 nt
Filed under: Glomus sp.
Lineage: Eukaryota; Fungi; Glomeromycota; Glomeromycetes; Glomerales; Glomeraceae
Description: partial contains 5.8S ribosomal RNA and internal transcribed spacer 2
Source: RNAcentral
GUGAAUCAUCGAAUUUUUGAGCGCAAAUUGCACUCUCCUCGUAGAGUAUGCCUGUUUGAGGGUCAGCCUAUAAAAAAUCGACAUCGUUGCUGUUUCGCGGUGGCGUUCGUCGGCAAUUGGGUCAUCUUAAAUCUUUUAGUUUUAAGCGACUUAAAAUUUUCUUUUUGGUUCCAUUAACGUUUCUAAGAUUUAUUUCUUUACACUUUUAAGGUAUCGAUUUUUAUUAUACGUGGCCGUCAUAUCGGAUCGCGUCCAUUAUUUUUCGCUAACUGACCUCAGACAGGUAAGAAU